RNAcentral lists this transfer RNA (72 nucleotides) under Salmo salar (Atlantic salmon). It matches the Rfam family "tRNA". From Rfam's summary of the family: Transfer RNA (tRNA) molecules are approximately 80 nucleotides in length. RNAcentral also lists the same sequence under 1 other name. Lineage: Eukaryota; Metazoa; Chordata; Actinopteri; Salmoniformes; Salmonidae. The record is from Rfam by way of RNAcentral.
UCCCGUGUAGCUCAUUUGGUAGAGCAUGGCGCAUGCAACACCAUUGUUGUGGGUUUGAUUCCCACAGGGGAC